This 182-nucleotide non-coding RNA is filed under the name Idiomarina sp. A28L. Its description in RNAcentral is "Bacterial small subunit ribosomal RNA". It matches the Rfam family "Bacterial small subunit ribosomal RNA", at positions 1 to 178 of the family's 1533-position model. The record is from Rfam by way of RNAcentral. Lineage: Bacteria; Pseudomonadati; Pseudomonadota; Gammaproteobacteria; Alteromonadales; Idiomarinaceae.
UAAUUGAAGAGUUUGAUCAUGGCUCAGAUUGAACGCUGGCGGCAGGCUUAACACAUGCAAGUCGAGCGGUAACAUUUCUAGCUUGCUAGAAGAUGACGAGCGGCGGACGGGUGAGUACAACUUGGGAAUCUGCCUGAUGGAGGGGGACAACCACUGGAAACGGUGGCUAAUACCGCAUAACC